ACGGGGUGCAGCAGGCGCGAAAACUUCACACUGUGCGAAAGCGCGAUGAGGGAAUCCCAAGUGUUUGCUCGUAAGAGUAAACUGUUUCUUUGUUUAAAACGCAGAGAGAGUAAGGGCUGGGUAAGACGGGUGCCAGCCGCCGCGGUAAUACCUGCAGCUCAAGUGGUGAUCAUUAUUAUUGGGCCUAAAACGUCCGUAGCCGGUUUAGUAAAUGCCUGGGUAAAUCGUGUAGCUUAACUAUACGACUUCCGGGUAGACUGCUAAACUUGAGACCGGGAGAGGCUAGAGGUACUCCUGGGGUAGAGGUGAAAUUCUGUAAUCCUAGGGGGACCACCAGUGGCGAAGGCGUCUAGCUAGAACGGGUCUGACGGUGAGGGACGAAGCCCUGGGGCACAAACCGGAUUAGAUACCCGGGUAGUCCAGGGUGUAAACGCUGCUUGCUUGAUGUUAGUUGGGCUCCGAGCCCAACUAGUGUCGGAGAGAAGUUGUUAAGCAAGCUGCCUGGGAAGUACGGUCGCAAGGCUGAAACUUAAAGGAAUUGGCGGGGGAGCACAGCAACGGGUGGAGCGUGCGGUUUAAUUGGAUUCAACGCCGGAAAACUCACCGGAGGCGACGGUUACAUGAAGGCCAGGCUGAUGACCUUGCCUGAUUUUCCGAGAGGUGGUGCAUGGCCGCCGUCAGUUCGUACCGUAAGGCGUUCUGUUA
Molecule: ribosomal RNA, 705 nt
Filed under: uncultured archaeon
Lineage: Archaea
Description: bacterial SSU rRNA
Rfam family: Archaeal small subunit ribosomal RNA
Source: RNAcentral